Molecule: ribosomal RNA, 664 nt
Filed under: Endeodes basalis
Lineage: Eukaryota; Metazoa; Arthropoda; Insecta; Coleoptera; Melyridae
Description: partial 28S large subunit ribosomal RNA
Rfam family: Eukaryotic large subunit ribosomal RNA
Source: RNAcentral
AAACACGGACCAAGGAGUCUAGCAUGUGCGCGAGUCAUUGGGACACGACUAAACCUAAAGGCGUAAUGAAAGUGAAAGUCCGCCUCGCGCGGACCGAGGGAAGAUGGGCGUCGGUCUCGUUAACGAUGCCGCGCCUCGCAUUCCCGGGGCGUCUCGUUCUCAUUACGAGGAGAGGCGCACCAAGAGCGUACACGCUGGGACCCGAAAGAUGGUGAACUAUGCCUGGUCAGGACGAAGUCAGGGGAAACCCUGAUGGAGGUCCGUAGCGAUUCUGACGUGCAAAUCGAUCGUCGGAACUGGGUAUAGGGGCGAAAGACUAAUCGAACCAUCUAGUAGCUGGUUCCCUCCGAAGUUUCCCUCAGGAUAGCUGGCGCUCGUAGCGCGCGAGUCUCAUCCGGUAAAGCGAAUGAUUAGAGGCAUUGGGGCCGAAACGGCCUCAACCUAUUCUCAAACUUUAAAUGGGUGAGAUCUCCGGCUUGCUCGAACCGAUGAAGCCGCGAGAUACGGAUCAGAGUGCCAAGUGGGCCAUUUUUGGUAAGCAGAACUGGCGCUGUGGGAUGAACCAAACGUCGAGUUAAAGCGCCCAAAUCGACGCUUAUGGGACACCAUGAAAGGCGUUGGUAACUUAAGACAGCAGGACGGUGGCCAUGGAAGUCGGAAUCCG